Long non-coding RNA from Oncorhynchus tshawytscha (Chinook salmon), 3182 nucleotides. RefSeq lists it as uncharacterized. Lineage: Eukaryota; Metazoa; Chordata; Actinopteri; Salmoniformes; Salmonidae. The record is from RefSeq and is a predicted model, not a curated record. The transcript is spliced from 5 exons.
UUCCUGUUCACGGGCAUUGGCCACUGACCCUCAUCCUGGUUGUUCUGUUCUGCAUUGUGUAUUAUUGUAAUCAUUUGAAGUUUGAUGGAAUAACCAUUUUAACUACACUCGCUGUCUGCCAUCUGCCCGGUACAGUUUAAACCGGGAUUCAUCAGUGAAGAGCACACUUCUCCAGCAUGCCUGGGGCCAUCGAAGGUGUGCAUUUUCACACUGAAGUUGGUUACAAUGCCGAACUUCAGUCAGGUCAAGACCCUGAAGACGGUUUCUGUCAGUUUGUGCAUAAAUUCCUUGGUUGUGCAAACCCACAGUUUCAUCAGCUGUCCGGGUGGCUGGUCUCAGACGAUCCUGCUGGUGAAUAAGCCAGAGAAAACACUGAGAGAGAAAGUCAGGAAGUGGAAAUGCUUAAGGAACUGAAAGACUAUGUGCCUGGAAAUCUUAAGUGAAGACUAUCAGAAUCCUCCUCCACGAACCAGCUGGAGUGGGAAAAUCCAGCUUCAUCAACUCCAUCAAUUGUGUGUUUCAGGGUCACAUUACGAGUAUCACCUUGGCCAACUUCACUGCUGCAGGUGAAAGCAUUGCCAGAAAAUACGAAACCCACAAAAUCUAAAAAAGAAAAACAUGGAAUCUAUUUCCCAUUGGUGUUCAAUGAUGUCAUGGGUCUGGAGAAAAGUGUCAAAGGUGUGCGUAAGGCUGACAUCAUCAAGGCCCUAAAGAGUCAUAUAAAAGAUGGCCACAAGUUUAAUCCAAUAUCACCAUUAUCAGAAGAGGAUCCUGGCUACAUAAAUACCCACAGUUCGGAGGACAGAGUUCACUGACUGGUCAGUGUCAUACCAGCUGAUAAAAUGGCUGUCUUGAUUGGUGUCAUCCAGAAGAUGAGGAACAUCGGAGUAGGAGCCGCUGAUAUGGGUGUACUAUGUCUUUGAGUAGGAGCGUCAUCACAUUGCCUGGAGAGAAAAAGGACUGCUGGAUUAAAUCAGUUUGCUCUGGCAGGGAUUCCCCAAAUGGUUAUUCUCAUUAGAGUGAAUGACGCCUGUCCAUUGGUGAAGAAAGACCUGAAAAACAUCUAUCUGAGCAAGUACAUAAAGGAGAAGUACAAAAACCAUCCGAUUGUAUUAUGAAAGACUGUUCGAUUUGUUAACCAUCAAUGGGUGGCUAGCCAGUGUUCCUAAUACAUAUUCCAUGGUAGUUACAUACACAGCUACAGCUCAUUCAAUUGAAUUCCAACGUUAUUCUUUCAUUGCAGAUGGAGCAGCGCAGUACUAAACUGGGAGUACCAGUAAACUGCAUCCAGCCUGUGAAGAACUACCAUGAGGAAAUAAACUUGGAUGAAGACAUGAAUGUGCUGCUAUUGAGGGUUCGGCUCAAUUUGGCAGAUUACUUCAUCAGAAAGCCCCCACAAGAUAUCAAGUGUUGUGUUCAAGACCACCUAAAGGGAGACUGAUUCAAGAUCGAGACCGGAGCAAAUCCAGUCAGAGUCGAGACCAAGACUGGAGGGUGGAAGAGACAGAGACAAGGCCGAAUCUAGGAAAAUGCGAGUCCAAUUCAAAAGACCAUGGUUGCCACUAGGGCUGUACCAAGUACUCGGACAAAACGAGUAUUGUAAUGGAUAUGGAGAAUUUUCAGAAUAUGACUAUGACACAAGUCUUUUUUUAAAUUAUCUGUAAUCUGAUUAUCUGUCAUUUUUGCUGCCAGCACACGUCUCUCUUUCACUCAAAGUGUGAAGCUCUGUGUUCUCGAAACAACUAUGGGCUAGUUCUUCUGUCUUAAUUGGAACAGUAUAUGGGGCAAGUGAAUUAGCCUACCUUCAUCUAAAUCUGUCUGGGUUAAAUGCAGGCAGUAGUAACCAGCCAUGCAUUAGGCUAUUUAUGAACCUUUUCCGUUGAUAAUCGAAUAGGAUUAAGUAAGUAAAUCAUGUGCAUUUUGAUCUGUCGGGGUCAUUUACCUUUGAACAAUGUGUGUGAAUGAGUGAAUGAACAUAAUGAUGCUCUCUGAGGAGCGCUUUGAGUGAUAGCGCAGUAAUUCACACUUGAGGUAUAGGCUUUACCGGCAUUUAAAGCGCACUCCAGGGUUUCUGAUCAAGAGCAAUCAAGAGUAAAUCCGAUUAUGUCGGCACACCCCACGUUGUCACCAUAAUAAGAGUUCAAAAUGGCCACUGUGUUCAUACAGUAUUUCACAAGAACAUAUGAAUUCUUUAGACAUUCAGAAUGGUGACAAAUGCAUGCUGAGGGCAAAUAGAGAGCCACUCUACAAAUGAUCACUAACUCAAACAGGUCUAUAACAGAUAAAAGUAUAAAAUACAUUCUCCCCUGACUAAUAGUGAGCGAGCAACUUUCAAACAAUGAUCCCCACUUUUCCCUAUCAGCAAAUCAAGGAAAUGAUGAGGAGCACUACAAAGUUUUAGGAUAUUUUUCAAUGAAAGUAAAGGACAGUAAUGUUAAGAGUAAAGUAGGAAGACCAGAAAAUAGUCCAUAAGAUAUUAAUGUGUCAUGAAAGGAGUGUGGCUAUUUGCGCUGGCAAAGCGGUUUUAUGGGAUCUGAUAAUUAUGAGUUUUUCACUCCCCUGGUAUUGGUUGGUUGUCGGCAAGAAAUGACUAGUAAAAAUGUAUCUGACACCAAGACAAGACCGAGACACUCCUAGGCCAGACUUGAGUAGGCUACUACAACACUGAAGAUAACUGAGGGAUGCAUACAUUAUCCAGAGUCACUAGCCUACACUGAAUCAUAAUACAAGUGGGUCUGUCAUACAGCCACAUAAAACCCCACAGAAUAGUGAAGGCUACUUCUUCCUGUCAUUUCUUUCACAUUGUUUGCUUAUAACUGAUGAUCCCUCUUGAGUAGGACAAUUUUGCCACUUGUUUUUUCUGUUGGUUUGUUUUUGUCUGUUGUUUAGGUCUUUGGGUUUGUGAGAUAGUGGGUUACAAAUACAAUGUAUAAUUUAUUGAAGAAAUAUGUAAUUUAUUGCAUAUAUUAUUUGUAUAUUUUAUUUAUUUAUUAUUUCGCUACUUUAUUGAGGAAAACUUUACUUACCAUGAUUGAUAGCUAUCUUAAGAUCAAUGCACUAACUGUAAAUCGCUCUGGAUAAGAGCUUCUGCUAAAUAACUAAAAUGUAAUCGUUAUUAGAGCAGGAUCUUAAAGUGUUUUGAGGACAAUGGAAUUUAAAUAAAGAUGCCUUUAUUAACAGUA